UUAAUUAUGGACCGGAAUGACCACAACUUUACCAUGUUUUUUGUUGUUGUUUUUUUGUAUGUUUGGCAUCCAACGGACUGGCAACAGGCGAGGAGGAGCUGUUAAUGGAGAUUUGGCUCGAGGACAACUUGUGGCGAGUAAAAGAUGUCAGGGACGGUUUAGACUGGCGCGCGGCGCGUACCUCUCUUGGCAGCGGCGACCUCGCAGGACACCCCGGGGAUGUCGCAGUAGCGGCCGGACCAGCCGCUGGGGCAGUCGCAGGGGGAGCUUUUGCACUCGUCGAUCUCUAUGGUGCAGCGGGGCCCGGUGAAGCCAGGCAGGCAGCUGCAGCGGAACGUGUUCACCCCAUCCGUACAGGAGCCCCCACUCAGACACGGGUCUGCAGCAGAAUGAAUCCAUUUAGCUGGUCGAUGCAGGAGCCCCCGUUGUGGCAGGGGGCAGACUGGCAGUCAUUCCGGUCCAGGUCACAGUUCUUACCCACCCAGCCCGGCUCACACUCACACCUGUACCUGUGGGAGUAGCCCGGCAGAGGAAGUGACCCGGAGGAGGCCGUGAUACGCCAGCGCUUACAUCAGCGAGCCUGGGAACCUCCUGCCCUGUGUGGGGGUGUGUGAGAGAGCGAGGGGGAAAGGAC
Molecule: long non-coding RNA, 634 nt
Organism: Conger conger (European conger)
Lineage: Eukaryota; Metazoa; Chordata; Actinopteri; Anguilliformes; Congridae
Exons: 5
Source: RefSeq, a predicted model, not a curated record